CGCCUGGGGAGUGCGGCCGCAAGGUUAAAACUCAAAUGGAUUGACGGGGGCCCGCACAAGCGGUGGAGCAUGUGGUUUAAUUCGACGCAACGCGAAGAACCUUACCUGGCCUUGACAUGCAGAGAACUUUCCAGAGAUGGAUUGGUGCCUUCGGGAACUCUGACACAGGUGCUGCAUGGCCGUCGUCAGCUCGUGUCGUGAGAUGUUGGGUUAAGUCCCGUAACGAGCGCAACCCCUAUCCCUAGUUGCUAGCAGUUCGGCUGAGAACUCUAGGGAGACUGCCGGUGACAAACCGGAGGAAGGUGGGGAUGACGUCAGGUCAUCAUGGCCCUUACGGCCAGGGCUACACACGUGCUACAAUGGUGCGCACAGAGGGCUGCAAACCCGCGAGGGGGAGCCAAUCUCACAAAACGCAUCGUAGUCCGGAUCGCAGUCUGCAACUCGACUGCGUGAAGUCGGAAUCGCUAGUAAUCGUGAAUCAGAAUGUCACGGUGAAUACGUUCCCGGGCCUUGUACACACCGCCCGUCACACCAUGGGAGUGGAUUGCACCAGAAGUGGUUAGUCUAACCUUCGGGAGGACGAUCACCACGGUGUGGUUCAUGACUGGGGUGAAGUCGUAACAAGGUAACCGUA
Molecule: ribosomal RNA, 634 nt
Filed under: uncultured Marinobacter sp.
Lineage: Bacteria; Pseudomonadati; Pseudomonadota; Gammaproteobacteria; Pseudomonadales; Marinobacteraceae
Description: bacterial SSU rRNA
Rfam family: Bacterial small subunit ribosomal RNA
Source: RNAcentral